This is a long non-coding RNA of Scylla paramamosain (green mud crab), 691 nucleotides long. RefSeq lists it as uncharacterized. The record is from RefSeq and is a predicted model, not a curated record. The transcript is spliced from 3 exons. Lineage: Eukaryota; Metazoa; Arthropoda; Malacostraca; Decapoda; Portunidae.
GCUCAUGGUAAAGAUUCGGACACACCCGAGGCAAUGACGCUUGAUGUCCAAGGAAUUGCAGUUUAGCUUAACUGCCUGCGGUGCGAUGUGGUGGUGCGUUGCGUCCUCUCGAGGCCACGUGGCAUUAAUAAUUUAGUGUGCGUUGUUAGUGCUCGGUCCCCACCCUCGCCUUCUUCUGUUUCGUGGGUCGGUAAGUACCAUGUCACAGGUUCAUCGCGGGACAACGCGGGACAGCGCUGGGAGCAACCCUUCGUAUCAGAUACGGAAAGGCACCGUUUCCUAGGACGUUAGGAUGCUAGGUUGCUAGGCUGCUAACCCUGAUUGCCUUACAGGUGUACUAAUUGUGUAGAUCAUUCCACAGCAAUGCAAUCAACACCAGUGACGAGAUGCAACGGAAAUUAGUGAAGAAGAUGCAUGGAGAAACCAGUGGCGUGAUACAUUAGGUUGUGUGGGGAUUACUGGGAAGAGGAUGGUAUUGCGACGAAGGGACUCUUGCUGCUUAAGUAAUGGGACAUCGCAAACACGUGCCCGCUACGAGCUCCAAGAGGAAAGAGGAAAAAGGAAACGCCGGUUGAAGAAGGGAAAGGUGCCUCGUCAGCAGGCAAUGGACGCACGUGUUACGGUGAGGAAAGUUGUCUUGUAGGUGAUAAUAUCAACUUAAAUUUCAGGUGCUAAUCACGUACAUUACCUU